GAGCACGUAGGUGGGUUUGUAAGUCAGAUGUGAAAGCCUUCUGUUCAACGGAAGAAUCGCAUCUGAAACUGCGAGUCUUGAGUGUAGGAGGGGAGAAUGGAACUUCUGGUGGAGCGGUGAAAUGCGUAGAUAUCAGAAGGAACUCCGGCGGCGAAAGCGAUUCUCUGGCCUAUUACUGACACUCAGUGUGCGAAAGCUAGGGGAGCAAACGGGAUUAGAUACCCCGGUAGUCCUAGCCGUAAACGAUGGGCACUAAGUAGAGGGGUUUU
RNAcentral lists this ribosomal RNA (269 nucleotides) under uncultured Planctomycetales bacterium. Its description in RNAcentral is "partial 16S ribosomal RNA". It matches the Rfam family "Bacterial small subunit ribosomal RNA", at positions 565 to 832 of the family's 1533-position model. Lineage: Bacteria; Pseudomonadati; Planctomycetota; Planctomycetia; Planctomycetales. The record is from RNAcentral.